This is a long non-coding RNA of Notolabrus celidotus (New Zealand spotty), 758 nucleotides long. RefSeq lists it as uncharacterized. The record is from RefSeq and is a predicted model, not a curated record. NCBI's taxonomy places the organism in Eukaryota, Metazoa, Chordata, Actinopteri, Labriformes, Labridae. The transcript is spliced from 5 exons.
GGAUGACAAAUGGGAAGACGGCAUUCAACACUCCCAUGGGACACUUCGAGUAUCUGGUAAUGCCCUUAGGGUUAACAAUCUCCUCCGCUACAUGCUCAACAGUGCAUUGUGGAGGUGGACGCCUCUGAUACUUGGACUCCCCCCUGCAGAGAGAAAUUGCUAGAUUGGUAACCAAGAGCUACUUGCUGUUAAACUGGCCCUGGAGGAAUGGUGCCACUUGUUGGGGGAGGGGGCAGAACCGUGGACAAAUCACAAGAGCCUUGUAUACAUCCAGUCUACUAAACGUUUGAACUCCAGGCAAGCCAGUCCGUUCUCAGGUCCUCCAGUGGGCUCACUCCUCUCAACUUACCUCUUCCAAUCCAUCGUCUUGGAGCACCUUACUGCCCUGGGUGGAAUAUGCCCACAACACCUUGCCCAAUGCCACAAAGAAACAGGAGUUGGCUGUUCCCUCUGUCCAAGCUCAUAUACGCCACUAUUAAAAGUGGUGCUGUGUUCAACUCCAGCCAUCCUCCAACUCCUUUUCUACUCUGGACCCGCACACACAAAUGGACCUCAGGACUCAUCAUUGGACUCACAUACUCCCAGGAAUUCAGGCAACCUCUGGACACGGGCUCCGCCAACCUCUCUCUCCCCCUGGAUUCACUCACCCUGGACUCUCACUCCCCUGGACUCACCGCCCCCCCCCUCCCCACUCCUGACCAAGCUAAGAUUCUCAAUUACAUUUUUCAUCUUCACUAAUAAAUGAUUUGUUCCUUCGA